AGCUACAGGCUUAACACAUGCAAGUCGAGGGGCAGCAUGGUCUUAGCUUGCUAAGGCCGAUGGCGACCGGCGCACGGGUGAGUAACACGUAUCCAACCUGCCGUCUACUCUUGGACAGCCUUCUGAAAGGAAGAUUAAUACAAGAUGGCAUCAUGAGUCCGCAUGUUCACAUGAUUAAAGGUAUUCCGGUAGACGAUGGGGAUGCGUUCCAUUAGAUAGUAGGCGGGGUAACGGCCCACCUAGUCUUCGAUGGAUAGGGGUUCUGAGAGGAAGGUCCCCCACAUUGGAACUGAGACACGGUCCAAACUCCUACGGGAGGCAGCAGUGAGGAAUAUUGGUCAAUGGGCGAGAGCCUGAACCAGCCAAGUAGCGUGAAGGAUGACUGCCCUAUGGGUUGUAAACUUCUUUUAUAAAGGAAUAAAGUCGGGUAUGCAUACCCGUUUGCAUGUACUUUAUGAAUAAGGAUCGGCUAACUCCGUGCCAGCAGCCGCGGUAAUACGGAGGAUCCGAGCGUUAUCCGGAUUUAUUGGGUUUAAAGGGAGCGUAGAUGGAUGUUUAAGUCAGUUGUGAAAGUUUGCGGCUCAACCGUAAAAUUGCAGUUGAUACUGGAUAUCUUGAGUGCAGUUGAGGCAGGCGGAAUUCGUGGUGUAGCGGUGAAAUGCUUAGAUAUCACGAAGAACUCCGAUUGCGAAGGCAGCCUGCUAAGCUGCAACUGACAUUGAGGCUCGAAAGUGUGGGUAUCAAACAGGAUUAGAUACCCUGGUAGUCCACACGGUAAACGAUGAAUACUCGCUGUUUGCGAUAUACAGCAAGCGGCCAAGCGAAAGCGUUAAGUAUUCCACCUGGGGAGUACGCCGGCAACGGUGAAACUCAAAGGAAUUGACGGGGGCCCGCACAAGCGGAGGAACAUGUGGUUUAAUUCGAUGAUACGCGAGGAACCUUACCCGGGCUUAAAUUGCAGAUGAAUUACGGUGAAAGCCGUAAGCCGCAAGGCAUCUGUGAAGGUGCUGCAUGGUUGUCGUCAGCUCGUGCCGUGAGGUGUCGGCUUAAGUGCCAUAACGAGCGCAACCCUUGUUGUCAGUUACUAACAGGUUCCGCUGAGGACUCUGACAAGACUGCCAUCGUAAGAUGUGAGGAAGGUGGGGAUGACGUCAAAUCAGCACGGCCCUUACGUCCGGGGCUACACACGUGUUACAAUGGGGGGGUACAGAGGGCCGCUACCACGCGAGUGGAUGCCAAUCCCAAAAACCUCUCUCAGUUCGGACUGGAGUCUGCAACCCGACUCCACGAAGCUGGAUUCGCUAGUAAUCGCGCAUCAGCCACGGCGCGGUGAAUACGUUCCCGGGCCUUGUACACACCGCCCGUCAAGCCAUGGGAGCCGGGGGUACCUGAAGUGCGUAACCGCGAGGAGCGCCCUAGGGUAAAACUGGUGACUGGGGCUAAGUCAUAACAAG
Molecule: ribosomal RNA, 1454 nt
Filed under: uncultured organism
Description: SSU rRNA
Rfam family: Bacterial small subunit ribosomal RNA
Source: RNAcentral